GAUGGAGAACGCAGCGAAAUGCGAUAAGUAAUGUGAAUUGCAGAAUUCAGUGAAUCAUCGAAUCUUUGAACGCACCUUGCACUCCUUGGUAUUCCGAGGAGUACGCCUGUUCGAGUGUUAUGAAGCUCUCAAAACGCAAUUGGCUUAAAACCUGAUUGUUGUUUUGGAUUUGAACUUUGCCGUGUUAUAACGGCUGGUUUUAAAAGUAUUAGCUGGUACUAGAACGAAUUGGUUCUACUCAACGUGAUAAUUAUCUGAUCGUUGAGGACAUUCCUUUCACGAGGAAUGGCCAUAGUAAAUUCAAUGGACUGCUUCUAAUCUGGCUUUAAUUCUUUAUUGGAUUAACCACUUUUCAAAUCUGACCUCGAAUCAGGUGGGACUACCCGCUGAACUUAAGCAUAUCAAUAAGCGGAGGA
RNAcentral lists this unclassified non-coding RNA (416 nucleotides) under soil metagenome. RNAcentral describes it as "partial contains 5.8S ribosomal RNA, internal transcribed spacer 2, and large subunit ribosomal RNA". The stretch from base 1 to 120 matches the Rfam family "5.8S ribosomal RNA", at positions 35 to 154 of the family's 154-position model. The record is from RNAcentral.